GGGGAUGUAACUUAGUGGUAGAGCCCUUGCCUGGCAUGCAUGUAAUCCUGGGUUUGAUCCCCAGAACCACCA
This 72-nucleotide transfer RNA is filed under the name Fukomys damarensis (Damara mole-rat). It matches the Rfam family "tRNA". Rfam says of the family: Transfer RNA (tRNA) molecules are approximately 80 nucleotides in length. Their secondary structure includes four short double-helical elements and three loops (D, anti-codon, and T loops). The record is from Rfam by way of RNAcentral. Lineage: Eukaryota; Metazoa; Chordata; Mammalia; Rodentia; Bathyergidae.